This 2445-nucleotide long non-coding RNA is filed under the name Homo sapiens (human). RNAcentral's name for it is "long non-coding RNA NONHSAT155620.1". Lineage: Eukaryota; Metazoa; Chordata; Mammalia; Primates; Hominidae. The record is from RNAcentral.
CCAAGGUGUUCCUGGACCAAAGGGGGAAGCAGGACUAGAUGGAGCAAAAGGAGAGAAAGGCUUCCAGGGAGAAAAAGGAGACCGUGGUCCCCUGGGACUACCCGGUACUCCAGGACCAAUUGGAGUUCCAGGCCCAGCGGGACCAAAGGGCGAGAGGGGCAGCAAAGGAGACCCUGGGAUGACAGGACCAACGGGAGCAGCUGGGCUUCCUGGUUUACAUGGACCACCCGGGGACAAGGGAAACCGGGUGAGGCGAAGAUGGCUUACCAGUCCAAGGCUGCUGGAACAAGGGCCAGAGUCCUUGGUUAGUCGCCAAGAAGUGAAGCCAGCAAGCCCAGAGCCCUGGGGAAAGCGCCUUGCCUUGGAGGAGGAAAGAGGUGGAGAAGCUGCCCCUGGACAGAGGGUCGCCAGCCGAAUCCUUCCAGGGGGUACCUGGUUUGAGGGGAUGAUCAAAGUGUAUUGUGACCUCAGGAGUGCAAGGAUGGGCCUCUGUCCUCUCCAAGGGCUAGAGCUCAGCCAGGAAAGCCAAGGCCCCCACAUCCGCACACCUCCAGCUCUCGUGGCCUGCUGAGGUGUCUGCUGCAGCCCCAGCCAGGACCCUCUGCUGUUGCUGCAAUUUUGAGGGCUCUCGGACUCCUCUUGCUCAUGAAGAAUUGUGGUUCUGUGAGCAACCUCUCUGCAGAAGGGGCUGUCAGUACCAUCCUGAUCUGACUGGGAAAGCCUCCUCCCGAGGCAGGCCAGGCAGCUGUCACCUCUCCCACCUCUUCUCAACAGAGUUCCUUCAAUUUCCUUUGGUGCUGCCACCAUCAACCCUGUUACUUCCUGGGCUCUUUCCAGUGUCAUAAGCAGACGAAUGUACCAAGCUGGAAAAGCAAGGAGCGUUUGUCUUAGAAAGGACGGAACCGCAACAUAAUGGAGGAGAGAAGCCCAGGAGUAAUACUGGGUGGCCAUGCCGGGUGCCUGGGCUGGUCCUCAGAACCAGGAGCCUCACACAUCUAGUCCGGUGCCCAGAGGUGCCCCAGCCAGUACUAAACUGACACAGACGGAGGCAGCAGUCUAUGUAGUUUCAGGAGGGUCUGAAGUAAGCCCUCUUAGCAAAAUUGUUGAAGGGACAGUGGCUGGAAAUUAACCACCUUACAUCUCCCUUUGUCAUGACACUCAAACCACCUUGCUGCUUGCUUCUUCAGUGAAUAGAAUGACCAUAUUUUCUUGUUCUAUCCAGGACACUUUGCAAUUAAGAAGGGCCCUGGUAGUCAGUAGGCUGUGACAGCAGAUGUCAACCUGGCAAACCAGCAGGUGGUCACAGUGACAAUGACCCAAUACCCACGUCAUCCUCCAGCCCUUCCAAGCCAAGCUCUGGCAACAGCUCAACCCCUCCUGGUGCCUUGUAGCUGCAGCCAUUCACCAAUGGCCUCAGGUGUCCACAGGGCCAGGUGGACAUUGUGUGGAGAACAAAGUGAACACGCCCCUGUUCUCACCUCCAUGCACCUGGGCGAGUGGGAUAUGAUCAGAACACAAAUGACAACUCUCACCGAAGGCAGGACAGACAGGCCAGCGGAAGGCAGAAAUGAAGGGCAGGGGACAUUCAAAGGAUAGAAAGAUCUUGAAUAAACAAACAUUUGGAGGGAAUUUUUCCCCGACACUAUUUUAAGAUGGAGAGGCUGGGUCGCCAGGGUUACCAGGCCAUUCUGGUGAUUUGACUUUAAAUGCUGGGAUUCUGACUUUAAAUUCAUAACAACAUCUUUCCUCGGCCCUGGUGGGUUAAAGAAAAUGCUUUAGAGCAAAUUUAGUGUUUUCUCCCAUUCACAGUAUCUGGCCCACAAGGCUUGUGGGUUAAAGCACACUCCUGAUCUUCAUUUGAUAACCUCAUCUCUCUCCUCUCUUUUGGUGCUUAUUGUAAAGUAGGAACAGCAGCCUCAUUACAUGGGGAGGAGCAGUAUGUCCAGGGCUGCAAACAAAUUGCGCAGGUCCAUUGCGGCCCCGUUGGGGUCAAGGGCACAUGUGCAUGACUGGAUGCAGCAAAAGUCACAGCUAAUGCACCCCGAUGGUGAUCCAGAUGUGAUGUGAGGCUCAGUGGGUACUUAGAGAUUUUUCACAGCCAAGUUAACCAGUCACCCAACCCUCCUGCCCUUCCCAGGGCAUGGCAGAAAUAAAAGGCAUCCCUAUUUAAAAUGACACACGUGUGAGUGGGUUUGAGGAUUCCAGAUGACUCACAGGAUCCUGUACAUUUGUAUAUAGUCAAAUGGUCUUCAUCUCCUGCCAGCAAACCACCCCGCUCUAAACCUACAACAGUCGAGGAAGACAAACCCAUCACGACCACCUUCUAAGAAGACACAGCCAAGUCCCAGGGCUCACUGUAAGAUCACAAAUGCAGUGAAACUGCUUGCUAAGAGACAUUUUUCUUGCACUCCACUCAUUCCAAAGACAAAGCAAUUUAUUGCAAAG